RNAcentral lists this ribosomal RNA (651 nucleotides) under uncultured bacterium. Its description in RNAcentral is "bacterial SSU rRNA". It matches the Rfam family "Bacterial small subunit ribosomal RNA", at positions 8 to 640 of the family's 1533-position model. The record is from RNAcentral.
AGAGUUUGAUUCUGGCUCAGGAUAAACGCUGGCGGCGCACAUAAGACAUGCAAGUCGAACGAAAGUCGUUAUAAAAUGAAUUGAAGAUUUAUCUGAUUGAAGUUUUAUAACAAUGGCUUUAGUGGCGGACUGGUGAGUAACGCGUGAGCAACCUGCCUAUUAGAGGGGAAUAACAGUGAGAAAUCAUUGCUAAUACCGCAUAUGCCAUAGUCAUCACAUGAUGAUAGUGGGAAAGGAGUAAUCCGCUAAUAGAUGGGCUCGCGUCUGAUUAGAUAGUUGGUGGGGUAACGGCCUACCAAGUCAACGAUCAGUAGCCGGACUGAGAGGUUGAACGGCCACAUUGGGACUGAGAUACGGCCCAGACUCCUACGGGAGGCAGCAGUCGGGAAUAUUGCGCAAUGGAGGAAACUCUGACGCAGUGACGCCGCGUAUAGGAAGAAGGUCUUCGGAUUGUAAACUAUUGUCGUUAGGGAAGAAAAAGGACAGUACCUAAGGAGGAAGCUCCGGCUAACUACGUGCCAGCAGCCGCGGUAAUACGUAGGGAGCAAGCGUUAUCCGGAUUUAUUGGGUGUAAAGGGUGCGUAGACGGGAUAAUAAGUUAGUUGUGAAAUCCCUCGGCUCAACUGAGGAACUGCAACUAAAACUGUUAUU